AUUAUUUCAAUCAAAUCCUAAAAAAUAUGGAGAGCGUUUGGUAAAUACUGUCUGAAAGUGUAAAAAAAGCUGGUAAGAGUUUUGCUUAUUCUUGAUCUGGGAAUGUGUUUAGAAAAUUGUGUAACCGUACGUGGAAGUCUUAUUAACCAAGUCUUGUUCUGUUGUUAGGAAAGAUUUGUAAGAUAUAAGCUAAAACCAGCUUAAGAAACUAUGUGAAGUUGAAGUAGUUCCUCACUUGGUCAGGCUUGGCUAUUCCUAUUAGAGUGCGCGCAGGAAGCUGAACUUGCUUUGAAGCUCCAUAUAAAGAGGAUCCGGUCUUCCACAAGGUCAGAGAUGUUGCUCCAAACAAGCUCCUGCGCUGGAGCUUUUUGGUAACGUUGCAGGCUAGGUUUUGCCUAAGUUUUAGACUGCCUGAAGCAUGUUUGAUGGGCGAAGACUAAAACUGACAUUUUAUGGAAGAGAGAAGAAUCAAAACCAUCUGUUGUAAUCGCUAGAGGAAUGAAUGAAGUGAGUCUGUGUAAAAGAGUCUUUUAUAUCUUACAGAGAUGUUAGCAGUUUUGAAUCCAUUCUCAGCAAGUGAUGGAAUGUUUUAAGAUUCAGGUUUAGUUUUCAUACACAAUAAUAACUUCACAAUAAUAACUUCACACUAAUCAGUAUUGUUUGGUAAUUCCUUGGCGCAUGAGCCCUACUGGCUACAUAAUAAAGUUGACAAAGAAAAAACUUGAAUGUGCUUAAGAUUGAUUAUUAACAAAAGAAAAAUAAUUACUUUUGGAAAUGCUUGGAUGCAUAUUCGUCAAGACAGCUUUUGUAACUUUUG
Molecule: long non-coding RNA, 817 nt
Organism: Raphanus sativus (radish)
Lineage: Eukaryota; Viridiplantae; Streptophyta; Magnoliopsida; Brassicales; Brassicaceae
Exons: 3
Source: RefSeq, a predicted model, not a curated record